CCAUUCCUACGGGGGGCAGCAGUGGGGAAUUUUGGACAAUGGGCGCAAGCCUGAUCCAGCUAUUCCGCGUGUGGGAUGAAGGCCCUCGGGUUGUAAACCACUUUUGUAGAGAACGAAAAGACACCUUUUAAUAAAGGGUGUUGCUGACGGUACUCUAAGAAUAAGCACCGGCUAACUACGUGCCAGCAGCCGCGGUAAUACGGAGGAUGCGAGCGUUAUCCGGAUUUAUUGGGUUUAAAGGGUGCGCAGGCGGAUUUUUAAGUCAGCGGUCAACUCGUGGGGCUCAACCCCAUCCAGCCGUUGAA
Molecule: ribosomal RNA, 305 nt
Filed under: uncultured bacterium
Lineage: Bacteria
Description: bacterial SSU rRNA
Rfam family: Bacterial small subunit ribosomal RNA
Source: RNAcentral